This 72-nucleotide transfer RNA is filed under the name Camelus bactrianus (Bactrian camel). It matches the Rfam family "tRNA". Rfam says of the family: Transfer RNA (tRNA) molecules are approximately 80 nucleotides in length. Their secondary structure includes four short double-helical elements and three loops (D, anti-codon, and T loops). Further hydrogen bonds mediate the characteristic L-shaped molecular structure. tRNAs have two regions of fundamental functional importance: the anti-codon, which is responsible for specific mRNA codon recognition, and the 3' end, to which the tRNAs corresponding amino acid is attached (by aminoacyl-tRNA synthetases). tRNAs cope with the degeneracy of the genetic code in two manners: having more than one tRNA (with a specific anti-codon) for a particular amino acid; and 'wobble' base-pairing, i.e. permitting non-standard base-pairing at the 3rd anti-codon position. Lineage: Eukaryota; Metazoa; Chordata; Mammalia; Artiodactyla; Camelidae. RNAcentral also lists the same sequence under 1 other name. The record is from Rfam by way of RNAcentral.
GAGGGCAGAGCUCAGUGGUGGAGCACGUGCUUAGCAUGCAUGAGGUCCUGGGUGCAAUCCCCAGUAUCAACA